RNAcentral lists this transfer RNA (70 nucleotides) under human gut metagenome. It matches the Rfam family "tRNA". Rfam says of the family: Transfer RNA (tRNA) molecules are approximately 80 nucleotides in length. Their secondary structure includes four short double-helical elements and three loops (D, anti-codon, and T loops). The record is from RNAcentral.
UGAAAUAGCUCAAUUGGUAGAGCAACUGAAUCGUAAUCAGUAGGUUGGGGGUUCGAUUCCUCUUUUCAGC